UACGAAGGGGGCUAGCGUUGCUCGGAAUCACUGGGCGUAAAGCGCACGUAGGCGGGUCCUUAAGUCAGGGGUGAAAUCCCGGAGCUCAACUCCGGAACUGCCUUUGAUACUGGGAAGCUUGAGUCCGGAAGAGGUGAGUGGAACUCCGAGUGUAGAGGUGAAAUUCGUAGAUAUUCGGAAGAACACCAGUGGCGAAGGCGGCUCACUGGUCCGGUACUGACGCUGAGGUGCGAAAGCGUGGGGAGCAAACAGG
RNAcentral lists this ribosomal RNA (253 nucleotides) under uncultured bacterium. RNAcentral describes it as "partial 16S ribosomal RNA". It matches the Rfam family "Bacterial small subunit ribosomal RNA", at positions 524 to 776 of the family's 1533-position model. The record is from RNAcentral.